GGGGUCAGGGUGUGCCCCUGGGCUGCCUCAAGGGGCUGCUGGUAAGGGCAUGUUUGCCUGUGCGGCUAUUGAGAAGGUUCCAGGAAAUGUGUCCCACGGCAUAUGGAGCUUCAGAUGCUUUAGGUUUGUUUUGUGGCCUCAGUUACAUUUUGUGUGUCCAUUUUGCAGACCUGGCUGACUGCAGUGUUCCCAAGCAGGUUACCUUGGGAUCAGUAGCUUCCCUGCCAGCUUCCCACAUUCCCUUUAUUUGCAAUUCCUUGUCUCUCAACCAGAAUUGCCCUCCUUCCUCAAAGCCCAUACCUUACUCUCAUUUCUUAUGAAGCUGGCCAUUCUACAUGGGCAAAAAAUACUGAUUUACAGCACUGAUUUUUUUCUACUUUGCUGCCACUUGUAAUUAACCUCUGCAAAGCUUAAAAGGUGUUGUAUAGAAUGACUGAACAGCUCUGUUGGAGAGUAUUUCAGAAUGAGCUACAUUGUCUUGCUUGCAUUAAGAAAAUGAGCCUUUACUCAAGCUGGCCCAAAAGUGGCCCAAGCUCAUCCAGUUUGGAAUGAAAAUCCUUGAGGAAAAUUAAUUACCUAGUGCCAAGAAAACAAUUUACGCUUGGGUCGCUCCUGCAAUCCUAAACUUUUCUUUUUAUGUCCUCUAAAAUAUUCCACCAAAGAGAAGAAAAAUGUUCAUCUAAAUGUAUACAGGUAAUAGAGCCCAGGACUUCUUUUAGGAACAGGAAAGAAGAUGUUGACAAAAAUCAGCAUAAGGGCAGAUAAGGAUCUCUGUCAAGAGCAAUCUCCAUCUCUGCCCUUCUCUGUCAAACACCGAGGCUCUCCAGCUUCCGAGGGCCGAGGCCUUCAUCAUGCAGCAGGUUUCAGUCUGCUGGCCAGCACAGCAAUGCCAUGUCUGCUGCCAGUAGCCCAUCCCCUGGGAGAGGGUCUAGGCAUAUGUACCUUGCUGCUCUCAUGCACCAUCUCUGUGUCUUACGAGAGCUGUGCAGUCUGGAACCUGUCUUUCCUGUUGCCCAGCAUGACGUUUUUGGGGCCUUGAUGUCUGCCAGAGAUUGACACAAACCUUUGCUCCCAGUGCCAGGCCUCCCAGUGAGCCAGGCCAAGGAGACGGAUCAUCCCACCAGUUCUGGUCUUACGAGUGACAAAGACCUGAGGGACAGCUUUGGAAAGGUAAGGGAUAAGGACAGGGAUGAGCAGACUUCCUUUGCAGUGGCUGUUUAGUGCUUGGCCCAAAAUGUGCCUGAAAAUCAGUCUUCCACUCUUGGGGCAUGGGGAUUCUCUUGGGAAUAUAUUUGACAGCUACGGCACAAUUGCUUGCCUGUUUCCAGUUGUGCCAAAGUCACUGGUUUGCAGAUGGUGCUAAGGUCAGGCCUGAAGCAUUCUUUAUGUGCAAAGGCCAUUUUAGAGAAGGUCUGAAGGGCAGAGCAAGCUACACACCAGUGAAUGUGGGCAAAGGGCACCCUGUGAAGCAAAGAUUCUAGUGUUGACUAUAAGCAAAGCUGCAAAAUAAAAUGGGAGUAUUUCAUUUUUCCUGGUUCCCUUUCUGGUUGUAUCUCACAGCCCUCUCAUUCUCAAAUUUUCUGCUCAUUGAUAUCAGUGUUUCUGCAACUUGGUUUUGCAUGACUCCUCCUUUUGGUCUCCUGGUCUCAGAGACCAAGGCAUUCAGAGUCCUUCACAGCUAUAUCCUUCAGAAGCCAGGAAUUGAGAAACAGCUGCAAUUCCUGGCCAUGAGUGUUAAGCAACAGCUAAUUACCCCUCUUUGCUCCAUAUUCCACAUGGUUUUUAUUCUCCUGCCAUGGCCUGUAGGAACUGAACUGCGUGCUCACUGGUCAUGGGAGCUCUUCAUUUGUCUUGGAGCAUUCCUAUGACUUUCAUGCUCCAAGCAGGGCUUCCUGUCCUAGGCUGCAGUUGGAGCAGUGUAAGGUUGUGGCACUGAAGUGUUCCACCUCCCUGUGUGUAAUUGCCAAGGUGAGGAUGGGAGACAUUCUCCUGAAACUAUUGGAAUGUAUAUGGAGCUGGAUUAAAGUCUAUGGGCUCUGUGCUCCUGAUGAGAUGUUGUGCCACGUUUGUGUGUCUCUGCUUACAGUCUGUGAUGUAUUUCCAUUGCAGCUAGAUCUGUGCUGCUUUGUGCAAGGUGGCUGAAGAGAACUUAGAGCCGAAGGACGUGGAGUUUUUUCAGAAUGAGAUGAAGAAAGGGAGAGAAGAGCAAACAUCCUUGCAGCUGCCUCCACAGACAGUUGAGCCCAGGGAUGCAGCUGAAGCAAGUCAGUGGUGGCUACACUUGAGGUCCUUUUUGACCCCUUGCUUGCCCUUUGCACAGUGCUGCAAUCAGACUGGGCAGCUGUUCUGCUUGCAUGCUUUACCCAACCACCUGUCAAUGGCACAGCUUCCAGUGUGCAGAGAAAACAGCCUGGUAAUGCCUUGAGGAAGAAGGUCUUGAGGAAGCAGGACAAGGUGCCCAGUAUGCCCAUGGUCCAUGAGGAAGACAGAGUCCCAUGCAACUCCUCAGGUAAGCCUGCUCCAUGGCAGCUUUUUCCCACAUGAGCACAAGGAGCACA
Catharus ustulatus (Swainson's thrush) is the source of this 2558-nucleotide RNA transcript. It is a transcript of the gene named TOG array regulator of axonemal microtubules protein 2-like, with no coding region annotated. NCBI's taxonomy places the organism in Eukaryota, Metazoa, Chordata, Aves, Passeriformes, Turdidae. The record is from RefSeq and is a predicted model, not a curated record. The transcript is spliced from 2 exons.